UUGAACGCUGGCGGCAGGCCUAACACAUGCAAGUCGAACGGUAACAGGAAGAAGCUUGCUUCUUUGCUGACGAGUGGCGGACGGGUGAGUAAUGUCUGGGAAACUGCCUGAUGGAGGGGGAUAACUACUGGAAACGGUAGCUAAUACCGCAUAACGUCGCAAGACCAAAGAGGGGGACCUUCGGGCCUCUUGCCAUCGGAUGUGCCCAGAUGGGAUUAGCUAGUAGGUGGGGUAACGGCUCACCUAGGCAACGAUCCCUAGCUGGUCUGAGAGGAUGACCAGCCACACUGGAACUGAGACACGGUCCAGACUCCUACGGGAGGCAGCAGUGGGGAAUAUUGCACAAUGGGCGCAAGCCUGAUGCAGCCAUGCCGCGUGUAUGAAGAAGGCCUUCGGGUUGUAAAGUACUUUCAGCGGGGAGGAAGGGAGUAAAGUUAAUACCUUUGCUCAUUGACGUUACCCGCAGAAGAAGCACCGGCUAACUCCGUG
Molecule: ribosomal RNA, 489 nt
Filed under: uncultured bacterium
Lineage: Bacteria
Description: partial 16S ribosomal RNA
Rfam family: Bacterial small subunit ribosomal RNA
Source: RNAcentral